RNAcentral lists this ribosomal RNA (265 nucleotides) under uncultured bacterium. Its description in RNAcentral is "partial 16S ribosomal RNA". It matches the Rfam family "Bacterial small subunit ribosomal RNA", at positions 88 to 354 of the family's 1533-position model. The record is from RNAcentral.
CCGGCGACCGGCGGACGGGUGCGUAACGCGUAUGUAACCUACCUUUGACAGGGGGAUAACAUCGAGAAAUUGGUACUAAUACCCCAUAACAUCACCGGAGGCAUCUUCGGUGGUUGAAAACUCAGGUGGUCAGAGAUGGACAUGCGUUGUAUUAGCUAGUUGGUGAGGUAACGGCUCACCAAGGCGACGAUACAUAGGGGGACUGAGAGGUCAACCCCCCACAUUGGUACUGAGGCACGGACCAAACUCCUACGGGAGGCAGCAG